GGAUCCAGACUUUGAUUAUGGCUCAGGACGAACGCUGGCGGCGCGCCUAACACAUGCAAGUCGAACGAGAGAGAAGAAGCUUGCUUCUUCGAUCGAGUGGCGAACGGGUGAGUAACGCGUGAGGAACCUGCCUCAAAGAGGGGGACAACAGUUGGAAACGACUGCUAAUACCGCAUAAGCCCACGGGUCGGCAUCGACCAGAGGGAAAAGGAGCAAUCCGCUUUGAGAUGGCCUCGCGUCCGAUUAGCUAGUUGGUGAGGUAAUGGCCCACCAAGGCGACGAUCGGUAGCCGGACUGAGAGGUUGAACGGCCACAUUGGGACCGAGACACGGCCCAGACUCCUACGGGAGGCAGCAGUGGGGAAUAUUGCACAAUGGGGGAAACCCUGAUGCAGCGACGCCGCGUGGAGGAAGAAUGUCUUCGGAUUGUAAACUCCUGUUGUUGAGGAAGAUAAUGACGGUACUCAUCAAGGAAGUGACGGCUAACUACGUGCCAGCAGCCGCGGUAAAACGUAGGUCACAAGCGUUGUCCGGAAUUACUGGGUGUAAAGGGAGCGCAGGCGGGAAGACAAGUUGGAAGUGAAAUCCAUGGGCUCAACCCAUGAACUGCUUUCAAAACUGUUUUUCUUGAGUAGUGCAGAGGUAGGCGGAAUUCCCGGUGUAGCGGUGGAAUGCGUAGAUAUCGGGAGGAACACCAGUGGCGAAGGCGGCCUACUGGGCACCAACUGACGCUGAGGCUCGAAAGUGUGGGUAGCAAACAGGAUUAGAUACCCUGGUAGUCCACACCGUAAACGAUGAUUACUAGGUGUUGGAGGAUUGACCCCUUCAGUACGGCAGUUAACACAAUAAGUAAUCCACCUGGGGAGUUCGACAAAGGGGUUGCAACUCAAAGGAAUUGACGG
This 901-nucleotide ribosomal RNA is filed under the name uncultured bacterium. Its description in RNAcentral is "bacterial SSU rRNA". It matches the Rfam family "Bacterial small subunit ribosomal RNA", at positions 1 to 916 of the family's 1533-position model. The record is from RNAcentral.